AAGUAUUAAAGGUCCCGCCUGCCCAGUGAAAACUUUAAACGGCCGCGGUAUUCUAACCGUGCAAAGGUAGCGUAAUCACUUGUCUCCUAAAUAGAGACCAGUAUGAACGGCUAAAUGAGGACAAACCUGUCUCUUAUAACCAAUCAGUGAAACUGAUCUCCCAGUACAAAAGCUGGUAUAAACACAUAAGACGAGAAGACCCCGUGGAGCUUAAAAUGAACCACUAACCACAACAUGGCCCUAGUGUAGAAUUUUAAGUUGGGGCGACUUCGGAAAAAAACAAAACUUCCGAGCACAGAGCAACCCACUCUAGCCAAGGCCAACAAGCCUAAGUACUAAACUGACCCGGCCCAUGCCGAUCAACGAACCAAGUUACCCCGGGGAUAACAGCGCUAUCUUCUUCAAGAGUCCCUAUCAACAAGAAGGUUUACGACCUCGAUGUUGGAUCAGGACACCCAAAUGGUGCAGCCGCUAUUAAAGGUUCGUUUGUUCAACGAUUAACAGUCCUACGUGAUCUGAGUUCAGACCGGAG
Molecule: ribosomal RNA, 532 nt
Filed under: Trachylepis acutilabris
Lineage: Eukaryota; Metazoa; Chordata; Lepidosauria; Squamata; Scincidae
Description: partial 16S ribosomal RNA
Rfam family: Bacterial large subunit ribosomal RNA
Source: RNAcentral